Long non-coding RNA from Aedes aegypti (yellow fever mosquito), 1784 nucleotides. RefSeq lists it as uncharacterized. NCBI's taxonomy places the organism in Eukaryota, Metazoa, Arthropoda, Insecta, Diptera, Culicidae. The transcript is spliced from 3 exons. The record is from RefSeq and is a predicted model, not a curated record.
UGUUUUCGCGGCAACCUGGAAUCGAACCAAGAACCGUGCGAUCGAUAAGCCCGUGCGUACACCACGCGCCUAUCAACGCCUUGAUGUGAAGUGAUGCUGAAACGGUACAUAAAGCGCUCGCAUUGCAAUAAUCGUUCCACCUUUCAUCAGGCAAAAUGUAUGAAUUUCGAUAGUCCAGUUCGCUGCGUGUAGCAUCUUCAAUGUAAGAGCCAAGGAUGGAAAAAAUCAUUUCUAGCGACUAAAAACACAGUAUUUGAACGGUCUAAGACGGCAGUCGUUCUUACAGCAGCAUGAUUUCAACAGCUCACUACGCGCGCGUAGAACGGAUAUAUGAAGCAUCCGAUGCACUGUUUGUCGUGGGACAAAGAGUUUAUCGGAUGUUGUUACAAGUCGCGAUCAACUUUUAUCAUGCCGCAUUUGCGUUAUUAUUUUUCGCUCUAACAAUGUCCGGACGAUUUCGAAAUCACAAACAGCAUGUCCGGAGUUAAAUCGAUGUGUAAAAGCGGAAAAAUCUCCAAAAUAUACUGCUUCGCGACUAAAAAUGGGUUAACCAACGUGCGAAGUUCGAUUUUUGACCAACUUCGCCGCGUCGCGAGUCACUUCGCUAUAGUGCGCAUCUACACUGAAAUCAAUGUUGAAGUAACCGUAAUCAUGACCAUGUAGUUAAGAAUACUAUUCCAGGAUGCAGUUAAAUUAACUGCAGUCACGGUAUUGUCUAAUGUGAUGCGGUCUUAUUUUUACCAUGGCCACAUUUAAAAUAAUUGCCUAAAUUAGUCAUGGUUGAUUCUUCUUUAAUUGCAUCAAGAGGCGCCAUUUCUGUUUUCGAAGAGCAAAGUUGAACGAUGUGCUUUGGAAAAGUUGUAAAUUAUAAUUAAAUUUAAAUAAAAAUUGCUUGAGAAGUGCCAAAAUUAACAGAUAUUAUAAAAAGUCUGAAGACAUCAGGAAAUGAAAAUGCUUUCCCAAGAUGUUCUUCGAAUGAUUACGGUAGUUUUUUACAUGGAUUACUGCAUGAAUGCAAUUGGAUCUGGAUGCUACAUUUCCAAUACCAGCUGCCUGCUAAAGUCGAGCUAUAGUAUACAAAUAAUAAAUGUUAAAUACUGUAAAAUUGUUAGUCAUGUUAAUAAAAAUGAUUGAUUCCGUUGUUUGACUAUAUAAGAUCAUUCGCAAUGCAUUCGGGUUUGCGAAUUUGUGGUAUCAGAUUUUCCAUAUAUUCGCAAAUUCAGAUGCAUUGCGCGUGAAACAUUAUCAAGUUCUGGAAGAUGUCACAAAUACUACAAACGUACAGUGCAUUUUACUACACAAAUGUUGUCAAUUUAAACGCAACUGAUGGUUCACAGAAUAACUCAAAAUUAUUGUUAUGGUUACCACAAAACAUGGUAAUAUUUACCGACUCUCUUAUACGCAGUCCCCAUGGUAAAUCUCACUACAAAAUCCGUUUGAGAUGAGCGUAAUGUGUAGUCUGCACAAAUAAAGUGGCGUUGUGCAUUUAAAUUAAACCAUCAACAUGGUAAUUUUGACCGCAAGGCUAUUUUCAGUGUAUGCCCUCCGCCGUGUGCAUUAUGCGCACUAUUCAAAAUCGAGUUGCGACGCGGCGAAGUUGGUCAAAAAUCAAACUUCGCACGUUGGUUAACCCAUUUUCUCACGCGAAGCAGUAUAAUAGAACUUUGAUUCGCGAACAAUUAGUCGCUAGCACACAUGCAACACGAUGCAUUAUUUGGGGAGCGUAGUUUGUUGUGAUCACUUGACGACAAAAGGUUAAUCGUUGUUGCUUUGAUCGCAGGGUA